UCCUGUCUGAAUAUGGGGGGACCAUCCUCCAAGGCUAAAUACUCCUGACUGACCGAUAGUGAACCAGUACCGUGAGGGAAAGGCGAAAAGAACCCCGGCGAGGGGAGUGAAAAAGAACCUGAAACCGUGUACGUACAAGCAGUGGGAGCACGCUUAGGCGUGUGACUGCGUACCUUUUGUAUAAUGGGUCAGCGACUUAUAUUCUGUAGCAAGGUUAACCGAAUAGGGGAGCCGAAGGGAAACCGAGUCUUAACUGGGCGUUAAGUUGCAGGGUAUAGACCCGAAACCCGGUGAUCUAGCCAUGGGCAGGUUGAAGGUUGGGUAACACUAACUGGAGGACCGAACCGACUAAUGUUGAAAAAUUAGCGGAUGACUUGUGGCUGGGGGUGAAAGGCCAAUCAAACCGGGAGAUAGCUGGUUCUCCCCGAAAGCUAUUUAGGUAGCGCCUCGUGAAUUCAUCUCCGGGGGUAGAGCACUGUUUCGGCAAGGGGGUCAUCCCGACUUACCAACCCGAUGCAAACUGCGAAUACCGGAGAAUGUUAUCACGGGAGACACACGGCGG
This 562-nucleotide ribosomal RNA is filed under the name Escherichia coli. RNAcentral's name for it is "partial 23S ribosomal RNA". It matches the Rfam family "Bacterial large subunit ribosomal RNA", at positions 432 to 994 of the family's 2925-position model. Lineage: Bacteria; Pseudomonadati; Pseudomonadota; Gammaproteobacteria; Enterobacterales; Enterobacteriaceae. The record is from RNAcentral.